RNAcentral lists this ribosomal RNA (253 nucleotides) under uncultured bacterium. RNAcentral's name for it is "partial 16S ribosomal RNA". It matches the Rfam family "Bacterial small subunit ribosomal RNA", at positions 524 to 776 of the family's 1533-position model. The record is from RNAcentral.
UACGUAUGGUGCAAGCGUUAUCCGGAUUUACUGGGUGUAAAGGGAGCGCAGGCGGCACGGCAAGCCUGAUGUGAAAGCCCGCGGCCCAACCGCGGGACUGCGUUGGGAACUACCGGGCUGGAGUGCCGGAGAGGUAGGCGGAAUUCCUAGUGUAGCGGUGAAAUGCGUAGAUAUUAGGAGGAACACCAGUGGCGAAGGCGGCCUACUGGACGGUGACUGACGCUGAGGCUCGAAAGCGUGGGGAGCAAACAGG